GAGGGACAGAUAAUCCUCACAUUGGAGAUGACCCUGGCAUAUUUAUUACGAAGAUUAUUCCAGGAGGUGCUGCAGCAGAGGAUGGCAGACUCAGGUAGGACUCCUGGCUUCCUGCAGAUGAUUCUAAGAAGAGCAUGCAGAAGUGUGGGUGGGCUUCAAAGAGAGCAGAGGUACCAAAGAUGGAAAGAAAGUCCUGGAUAAAUGCUGGAGAUCAAUGCACGUGAUGGAUAUGGAACAGUAAAGGAAAGAAUGAACUAAGAGAAAGUGGGUGGAUAACGGUACUUUGUUAUCUGAGGAGCUGUGAAAACUGUAUACAAGGCUUCUUUUCUCAUAAAACCAGCAUUUGAGUGAGGGAUUUGGAACAUGAUAUGUGCAACAAAAUAAAUAUACGAGUAUUACAUGUG
This 404-nucleotide long non-coding RNA is filed under the name Rattus norvegicus (Norway rat). Its description in RNAcentral is "long non-coding RNA NONRATT000950". Lineage: Eukaryota; Metazoa; Chordata; Mammalia; Rodentia; Muridae. The record is from RNAcentral.